Molecule: ribosomal RNA, 543 nt
Filed under: uncultured Gemmatimonas sp.
Lineage: Bacteria; Pseudomonadati; Gemmatimonadota; Gemmatimonadia; Gemmatimonadales; Gemmatimonadaceae
Description: bacterial SSU rRNA
Rfam family: Bacterial small subunit ribosomal RNA
Source: RNAcentral
UGGGGAAUCUUGCGCAAUGGCCUAACGGCUGACGCAGCGACGCCGCGUGUGGGAUGAAGCUCUUCGGAGUGUAAACCACUGUUGCCCGGGACGAAUAGCUCGAUUAAUCGAGCCUGACGGUACCGGGUGAGGAAGCACCGGCUAACUCCGUGCCAGCAGCCGCGGUAAUACGGGGGGUGCGAGCGUUGUCCGGAAUCACUGGGCGUAAAGGGCGCGUAGGUGGUUUGAUAAGGGUGUGGUGAAAGUCCGGGGCUCAACCCCGGAUCGGCCGUGCCGACUGUCAAACUCGAGGGCUGUAGAGGCAGACGGAAUUCCGGGUGUAGCGGUGGAAUGCGUAGAGAUCCGGAGGAAGACCGGUGGCGAAGGCGGUCUGCUGGGCAGUUUCUGACACUGAUGCGCGACAGCGUGGGGAGCAAACAGGAUUAGAUACCCUGGUAGUCCACGCCGUAAACGAUGGGUACUAGGUGCCUGGGGGAGCGACCCUCUGGGUGCCGGCGCUAACGCAGGAAGUACCCCGCCUGGGGAGUACGACCGCAAGGUUGA